GUGGCGGACGGGUGAGUAAUGUCUGGGAAACUGCCUGAUGGAGGGGGAUAACUACUGGAAACGGUAGCUAAUACCGCAUAACGUCGCAAGACCAAAGAGGGGGACCUUCGGGCCUCUUGCCAUCGGAUGUGCCCAGAUGGGAUUAGCUAGUAGGUGGGGUAACGGCUCACCUAGGCGACGAUCCCUAGCUGGUCUGAGAGGAUGACCAGCCACACUGGAACUGAGACACGGUCCAGACUCCUACGGGAGGCAGCAGUGGGGAAUAUUGCACAAUGGGCGCAAGCCUGAUGCAGCCAUGCCGCGUGUAUGAAGAAGGCCUUCGGGUUGUAAAGUACUUUCAGCGGGGAGGAAGGGAGUAAAGUUAAUACCUUUGCUCAUUGACGUUACCCGCAGAAGAAGCACCGGCUAACUCCGUGCCAGCAGCCGCGGUAAUACGGAGGGUGCAAGCGUUAAUCGGAAUUACUGGGCGUAAAGCGCACGCAGGCGGUUUGUUAAGUCAGAUGUGAAAUCCCCGGGCUCAACCUGGGAACUGCAUUUGAUACUGGCAAGCUUGAGUCUCGUAGAGGGGGGUAGAAUUCCAGGUGUA
This 586-nucleotide ribosomal RNA is filed under the name Shigella sp. Its description in RNAcentral is "bacterial SSU rRNA". It matches the Rfam family "Bacterial small subunit ribosomal RNA", at positions 95 to 677 of the family's 1533-position model. Lineage: Bacteria; Pseudomonadati; Pseudomonadota; Gammaproteobacteria; Enterobacterales; Enterobacteriaceae. The record is from RNAcentral.